Molecule: ribosomal RNA, 253 nt
Filed under: uncultured bacterium
Lineage: Bacteria
Description: partial 16S ribosomal RNA
Rfam family: Bacterial small subunit ribosomal RNA
Source: RNAcentral
UACGUAGGGUACAAGCGUUGUCCGGAAUUAUUGGGCGUAAAGAGCUCGUAGGCGGUUUGUCGCGUCUGCUGUGAAAACUCGGGGCUUAACCCUGGGCCUGCAGUGGGUACGGGCAGACUAGAGUGCGGUAGGGGAGACUGGAAUUCCUGGUGUAGCGGUGAAAUGCGCAGAUAUCAGGAGGAACACCGGUGGCGAAGGCGGGUCUCUGGGCCGUAACUGACGCUGAGGAGCGAAAGCGUGGGGAGCGAACAGG